AAACAAAAUCAAAACAAACAAACGUAUAAAGCAAGAACAGAAAACAACUCUUCAUCUCACUUCCUCUCUGUCGCAUGAGUAGUGGUCGUAGUAGUAGAGGUUGGAGCUGAAGAAACGUGUUCUUUGUUUCCUUCAUCAGUACCAAGCCCUAAAGUGUGCUUAACCGCAUCAGUAGCUCCCAUAGCCAUUUGCUUCACUUGCUCACCGGUUUGGCCCAAGAUCCCACCGGUCUUGUUCUUACCAGCUUCUGCAGUCUCCUUGGUAUACUCUGCUGCAUCUUGUGCCUUGUUCUUAAUUGUUUCUUCUGUCUCUGACAUGUAGCUUCCCGUUUUUUCCUUGGACUCUUGAGCUUUCUGUUGAGUUGUUUGUGCGGCUUGAGAUGCCUUGUCUUUAGCUGAUUGAGCUGUUUCAUGGCUCUUUUGUUGGGCUGAUUGGGCUUCUCCUUGAGUUUUGUCCUUACCUGCAUCUGUUUUUUCCCUCAUCGUUCUCAUAGCUUGUCCUGUCUUCUCCUAUGAUUCGAUAUUGGAUUUACAUUCAAACAAAGGUUAAUAGAGUAAUUAACUUAAAUAUGUAAUUAGAUUGUGGCUAUUGUGUUAUAGUCACUCCUAUUCAAUCUGUCUAGCUCUUAUUCUUUGAUAAUCUGAAUUAUUUCCAAAAACAAAAUAAUCAGCAUAGACACAUUGGUUGUAAACAGUCUUUUGUUGUUAUAUUAUCUAAUCAAGCAAAAAACAGACCUAUGCUUUUCUUUAUAUAAAAAAGUUACUCAUGAGAAAACAUGUCUGCAGAAAUAUAAACAACAGACUGUUUUAUCAAUUAAACAACACGAUAUAUUAUCGUAAACUAGUGGCUUCAUUCAAUUUUUUAUUUUUGACCUAACUGACACCAUUUUUAUCUUACUUUAGUUUUUGCAAAAUCUUAUAAACUAUAGAUCAUUUAGUACUUUACUACUUAUAUCCCAAAAACAGAUAAAUCAUUUAGUAUACCUGAGUCUGGCCUCUGGUCUCACCAGCUUUGAAACCCUGUUCUUGAUGAGAAGCCAUUUUCUCUCGUCGAAAAAUUCGAAACCAAAAUAUUUAAUGAAAACACGAAUGGCUGAUUGAUGAUCAAAAGCUAUUUUUCAGAACCUGUGUUGGAAGAUAUCUCCGACUCUUAUGUUUGAGACAUUUUAUACCAAGUCUUUGUCGGCCCGAGAACAAGAUACAUGUUGCAGAUUUCUCGAAACGUGUUAAACCACGCGUCGCGAUUAGGUUAGAGACGAAGUUCGAAACUUGGAGACAUGUGCGAGUGUUGAAUGUUAGGUUAUCUUGUUUUUGAUGACAACCUAUCAGUAGAGGUGCCACGAAAUAAUAAAAAAAAUAUGUUACGGAAGAUGCUAGAUACGUGGCGAGUCACGACUCACGUACAUGGAUUUCAUUUACUUACUGCAUUACAGUAUUUAUACAUUAAAAUAUUAGGUAGUUACGUUUCUUUAAUAAGAAAACAAAGACUUAUUACUACGCUAAAAUUUUUUAUUCGAUCUGUUGCUCACCUCAGUUUUGGAGCUCAUGUAAGUAUUCAGUCUCUGCUAUUCUGUUAUUCGGAGACAAACUCCAUUUUUAAUUAUUCCCUAUUUUUGGGUUCAAUGAUAUUCAGAUAAAUAAGAAAAAGUUAUAUGAGUGAAUUGCUUUCCAUUUUAUUAUCCAAAUUUCAUUAUUAUUAUUACCAAAUAAAAAUUCUUCGGAUUAUAAAGUAAAAUAAAAUAACAUAAAAUUACUAGUAAAAUUUACCACAUGACUUAGACCAUGCAAUAUGUAGAUUUAAAUUCAAAUUGAGAUACAUCAACGACACUAUUACAAAUCUCUUGAUUAUAUAUACAUGUUCUUAUCCGAUUAUAAUCAUCAAUGACUAUUUUAAUGAGAAUUUGAUUACGUACAUUUUGAAUCAUUACUAGUAAUGUUAUUUCAUCAAUAAAUUUCUGUUUUAUUAUAUUUUCACCACUGCUUACAUCUAGUAGUUGAAUCUACCAAAAACAUUCACUUAACAUGGCGAAUCAAGACCUGAUCUAUUCAGGUCCAGACUUAAUCAGAACCAAAUUUAUAAACUAGGUGUAAUAAAACUGUCCAAGUUUGGAUAUGUCUUUAUGUGGAUCAAUGCAAAUUUACUUUUGAAGUUCAGGAGAGUUUCUAUUUUAUCCAGAUGUUCUUUAGAAAUGGUUCAACUGCACCAGUACGCAACAGAUCAGGCAAAUUUCUUGAUGCUUCCACUUUCCAUAUCCGACACCAAAUAGAUCGAAUAUGAUCAUUGAAUUUAUCUUUCUGAUUUACUUGAACCAGCUUGAUUGGAGACAUUCUACACAGACUAAAUACUUCAAAGAAAACACAAAUUCAUGUCCAAAAUAUUUAGGUACAAGAAACUUCAAGUUCUUCAUACUAAACAAGACCGAUGUAUAAUGACCAUUUUACUCAAUAAACUUUGAUUAAUUUCACAUUUAAAUUGUUAUUUAUUUAUUUAUUUUUAUUUAAGCUUGUAAAAACAUAUAUAGAAAAACUAUAUAAUCUCGUAGGCUAUAAUCUCAAUCAUCAUUUCCCUUGUAAUUAAUACUCAUGAAUCAUUUUAUUAAUAAUCAAUAAAUCAAUAUGUUUUCUUUUUUAAAGCUUCGCUUUUCUGUUUUAUUCUCUAAAUUUCACAAGUGAAAUUAUUUAUUCUUUUGUGUUCUUGUUAUUUAUAGUGUGUGAAUCAAUCCACUUUUGGUCAUGGGAGGAAAGCCUUGAUCCAUGCGAGGAAAAUCACUUAGAUCAAGUUCUUUGUCCAUUGAUAUAUUGGGACCUUACACAAUCUAAGUUUAUUAUAUAUCAACAUUAUCUUCAUCCAUCAAUAACAUUAAAUCUUUAUGUGCUAUAAGUUUAGUGGCUUCUAAUUUUACAUCAAAAUCUCGCAUAGGAGAAGAGAUCGAGCAAGCUUUACGACUUCUUUGCUUCUAACGAUGAAGAAGAAAAAUGUAUAUAGUGAUGACAGAAAAAAUUCCAAAAUUUAGAAGAAACUAUAUGGCUAUUAUCACUUAACAUUGAUGGUGAAGUUACUGUGCUUCGGAUACCAAUUACACGUAUAGAAGACAAUUUAGAAUUCUUUAAUUUUUAAAUGAUUUGAAAACAAAAGACCACAAUAUUUUUUAAAAAUCACCAUAAAUAAAUGAUGUUGGAAAAAACCACUGAUAUGGAAAUCCAACAAAAGUAUUUUUAAGAAAUAAAAAUAUAGAUCAUAUAUUAUUAGAUUAUCAUUGAAAUCUUAAAAACUUUAUAUUAAGAAAUAAAAAAAAAGCUGAAUACAUAAUUUUUGUGACAUUUUAGAUGGGAAGUGUAUUAAAGUGUUUAGACAAAACUAAUUAGUAAUAAUAAGAUAAAAGUUAUAAAUUCAUUAAAACAUAUUUGAUGAGGUGCUAAGUGUUUUCUUUUAUUAUAUAUAUAUAUAUAUAUUUGGUAUUCUUGUGCAUCUAAUAUAAUAAUAUCUAUUGAUUGUGUUCCACCCAAUUAAGUUAACUUUUUUUGCUUUAAUUUGUCAGUUUUGUGAAAUAAUUAAAAAUAUUAUUAAUUGUUUUAAAUAAAUAAUGCCUCUGAUAAAGAUUUUGUUUUAAAAACAUUUUCCACCCAAUUAGUGAAAGUAAGAUUUCUAACUUAAUUUAGGGAUAUGGUCUAUUUUUUUCCUAAAAAGAAAAUAAGUAAAGACUCAUUUGUUGUAUAAAUAACAAUGUCUUGCCUAUCUUCUCUUAUAUUUUCAAUCUCUCAAAGCUUUCGAGAUAAAUUAAAAAAUACGGUUGAAAAACAAGAAAUUCUUCUCGUCGAAAAUGGCAUCUGGUAUGUUUUUUUCUUGUUGUGAUUAUUCAUGCUUCUUCCAUAAUUAUCAAAAUUGCUCGACUAUUUACUCGUUACAUAUUUUCUGCGUGAAACUAAUUCGUAAAUUUACGUAUGAUAACCACAUAUAUAUACAGGGAGUAGAGUUAUGAACAACGUGUACAUUGUUGAGCCCAUAGGAGUUCAUAAAGCCACUAUAGUCUGGCUGCACGACAUCGGGCUCAAAGGCGUCGAGUAACACUCUCACUGUCUCCCAUGCUUUGUUUUGUAUUGUUUUAUAUGCUCUUUUUUCCCCUAAAAUAUAUGCUCUUUUGUUUUCAAAAUUCUUGAAUUUUUUACAUUUCCUCUCUAUUGUGUUUUCUUGUUAGAUACUAAUAAGUUCGUUUCACUAAAGUUGUAUAUACAUUAUAUAUUAUACACACUAUAUAUAUUUUAAUUAAUCUAUUAUGUAUGCAGCUCAGUUCAGCCUCUGCAAAGUUUAGGUCUUCCCAAUGUAAAGAUCGAUACAGAUACAUGUGUUUGCCAUGAAUUUAAUUUCUUUUUAUAUAUAGCCACAAUGGAAACUAUGAAUUUUCUAAUUAAAAUAUAUGAUUUGGCAUAGAUAAAAUGGAUUUGUCCGACUGCUCCUACACGCCGUGUUACUUCUUUGGGUGGAGAAGAAACCACUGCAUGUACGAUUAAUUGGCUAUAGAUAUACAUAUAUUAUUUUGUUUCUUCUAAAUCAGUAUUUGAUGUCUCUAAAAUAUUACUAAUUAAAAUGGAAAACUAAUAAUACAGUAUUCAUAAUCCUUUAUGGUGAAUCAGGGUGCGAUAUUACAAAAGUUUCAGAGAGCAUGCAUCAUGAUUUUGAAGCUUUAGAUAAUGUGAAUUCAUUUGUUGCUGGCCUUUUCUCUUCCGAACCAGAACAUGGUAAUUCGAAAUUAUCUACACUUAACAUGCAUAGUUUAGACUAUCUAUACAUCAAAUACAUAUAUAUGAGUAAAUAAUUAAUACUUUAAUGUUGAUUUUGGUAUAGUUAUUAAAGGUGUGGGAGGUGUUGGCUUGGGUGCAGCACAAGCUCUCUACUUUGCGAGUAACUAUGCCUUUGGACGAGUCACCAUAAACCUAAAAAUUGUUGUAGGGAUCAACGGUUGGCUUCCUAGCUGGACGUAAGCUCCUCAAGCCCUGAUGUAGUUUUUCACAAAAUUUUAUUUAACUAUUCAUAUAUACCUUUUAAUAAUGGAAAACCAAAAUCGAUCAAUAAUCUUGUAGGACCUUACGAAAUGAUAUGUAUUCUGCCUUUGGGACUUUUGUUCGUGCCGGAUCGCUAAUCUUACUUACAUAUGGGACUUGUAUGUUUUAUAAUAAAUUAAAUUAUAUAUAUGUUUUCUUUACAAUUUAAGUUAGUAUUUAGAAAAUAAUCGCUAAUUCUUGGGGGUUUUUUUUUGUUGUUGUUGUGUCACUUGCAGCUGAUGAUAUAGCUUUCUCAGCAUUUGCACGCAUCUGCACUGACUCUCUUCACUUGGCUGGAUUUCCAAUCAUUCACAAACAAUGCGGAGGGUCUAUAUUCAUAAAUUACUUUAUUUAUUUCACUCAUUUAUUUUUUUUAAUUAUUACCAUCUUUUAACAUAUUGUUCUUCUCUUAAUUAUGUCAUGUGCAGGGAUCACGUCAUGAAUGAUCUUCGCGUAACACUCCCGCAAUAUCUUAGGCUCUGAUGAGGAUAUAGCUAAACUCUGCAUCCUGAAAAGAAUAUGGAAUAAAACUAUCGUAAAACUAUAGCUUUUAUUUUUAUUUCUUUGCUAUUCAUAAAUUAUAUAAUUGUUAAUGUAUUUUUUUCAUUUUUAUCCUUCAAAAACUGAAGUUUAUUUUCAGUUUUCUGUUAUAUCAUAUAUCAUAUAAAAAGGUUAUUAUAUUAUCAAUGGUGAACUAACAAAAGAGGAAGAAGUAAAAUUAGUGUAAUAACAUAUUGAUUUAAAAAAGUGGGUUAGUGGUAUAAUAUAGACAUACAUAUAGUGUAGUACUACCAAAAUGUAACAUAUCCAAUUAAUUAACUAUCAAUUGAGAUUGUACGUAAUGGUGUGCCAUACAAACUACCAAUUAAUCGCUCUUUUCCCUCUCUUUUGAUGUGCCCUAUUCCCUCUUUUUGUGUCUGCGCCCUUUCUUCUCUAAUAUUGUCUAUUGAGAUUGUACGUAAUGGUGUGCCAUACAAACUAUUUAUACUAUUUUUAGAUUCAUUUUUAUUAUUUUUCGUAACGCAUAAUUCCAUUCAAUAUACAUUUCUUAUAAAUGAUUUAUGUAUGACAUGACAAUAUUUGUUAAAAUAUUUAGAACGUGUUGUAUCAAUACAACAUAAGCUAAUAUUGUUGUGUUCACAUGUGUAUACUAAUCAAAUUCAGAAUCACAACAAAUAUAAUUCUAUUCAGCGGAUAAAACAAGUCUUCAAUUAACCAAACCAUUACAUAACAAUGUACGUAUAAACGGAUUUAAACUCAAUAAGCAACAACGAAAAUCAACAUGCAGAAUCACACAACACAAAACAAAAUCAAAACAAACAAACGUAUAAGCAAGAACAGAAAACAACUCUUCAUCUCACUUCCUCUCUGUCGCAUGAGUAUUGGUAGUAGUAGAGGUUGGAGCUGAAGAAACGUGUUCUUUGUUUCCUUCAUCAGUACCAAGCCCUAAAGUGUGCUUAACCGCAUCAGUAGCUCCCAUAGCCAUUUGCUUCACUUGCUCACCGGUUUGGCCCAAGAUCCCACCGGUCUUGUUCUUACCAGCUUCUGCAGUCUCCUUGGUAUAUUCUGCUGCAUCUUGUGCCUUGUUCUUAAUUGUUUCUCCUGUCUCUGACAUGUAGCUUCCCGUUUUGUCCUUGGACUCUUGAGCUUUCUGUUGAGUUGUUUGUGCGGCUUGAGAUGCCUUGUCUUUAGCUGCUUGAGCUGUUUCCUGGGUCUUUUGUUGGGCUGAUUGGGCUGCUCCUUGAGUUUUGUCCUUAGCUACAUCUGUCUUCUCCCCCAUCGUUCUCAUAGCUUCCCCUGUUUUCUCCUAAGAUUCGAUAUUGUAUUUAAAUGGGACAAACGUUAAUAAAGUAAUUAACUUACAUAUCUAAUCAGUCGAUACAAAAAUACGAAAUCAGAUAAAUACUUGCCUUUUAUAAUGAAGUUACACAUUAUAGUAAUAUCAUCAAAAAACCAAGCAAUAGAUUGUUUUAUCAAAUAACACGCUAUAUCGUAUAAUAGUGGCUUCACUCGUUGUUAUUUUUUUACCUAAUUAAGAACAUCAUUUUAUU
RNAcentral lists this long non-coding RNA (7090 nucleotides) under Eutrema salsugineum. Its description in RNAcentral is "long non-coding RNA (ESAL_LNC000283)". Lineage: Eukaryota; Viridiplantae; Streptophyta; Magnoliopsida; Brassicales; Brassicaceae. The record is from RNAcentral.